CAUAGAUAAUUUGGUAUUUUUCUGGUCAAAAUUGAUGAGUCUUUCAUUCUUGGUUAUUAAAUAUUGGUAAGAUUAACGUAGAAAGAUGUCGGAAAAUUCAUCCGACCCUAACCAAUUUAAGGGUUUUAAAAAAUAUUUUAACAGUUAUACGACUUUCGGACGAGCAAACAUUGCCAAAAGUACAUACGGUGCAAUUGGUCUUUUAAUUCUGUAUAAAUAUUGUACCAAAAGUAGUAAGAAAUAGUUCUACAAAUGCAAUUUUGUCAUCUAUCAGAAAAUGAUAUCCAAUAUUACAUAAUUAUUGUUGCAACUUUAUAGAUAAGUAGACAUGUGGAAAUUAGUUAAAUAAAGUAUUUAACUGAAAUUAUAUUUUUUAAA
Ceratosolen solmsi marchali is the source of this 378-nucleotide long non-coding RNA. RefSeq lists it as uncharacterized. The record is from RefSeq and is a predicted model, not a curated record. The transcript has 2 exons. Lineage: Eukaryota; Metazoa; Arthropoda; Insecta; Hymenoptera; Agaonidae.